RNAcentral lists this transfer RNA (72 nucleotides) under Chitinimonas taiwanensis DSM 18899. It matches the Rfam family "tRNA". Rfam says of the family: Transfer RNA (tRNA) molecules are approximately 80 nucleotides in length. Their secondary structure includes four short double-helical elements and three loops (D, anti-codon, and T loops). RNAcentral also lists the same sequence under 3 other names. Lineage: Bacteria; Pseudomonadati; Pseudomonadota; Betaproteobacteria; Neisseriales; Chitinibacteraceae. The record is from Rfam by way of RNAcentral.
GGGCGGUUAGCUCAGGGGUAGAGCACUGCCUUCACACGGCAGGGGUCACUGGUUCGAUCCCAGUAUCGCCCA